AUUGAACGCUGGCGGCAGGCCUAACACAUGCAAGUCGAGCGGGGGAAGGUAGCUUGCUACUGGACCUAGCGGCGGACGGGUGAGUAAUGCUUAGGAAUCUGCCUAUUAGUGGGGGACAACAUCUCGAAAGGGAUGCUAAUACCGCAUACGUCCUACGGGAGAAAGCAGGGGAUCUUCGGACCUUGCGCUAAUAGAUGAGCCUAAGUCGGAUUAGCUAGUUGGUGGGGUAAAGGCCUACCAAGGCGACGAUCUGUAGCGGGUCUGAGAGGAUGAUCCGCCACAAUGGGACUGAGAAACGGCCCAGACUCCUACGGGAGGCAGCAGUGGGGAAUAUUGGACAAUGGGGGGAACCCUGAUCCAGCCAUGCCGCGUGUGUGAAGAAGGCCUUAUGGUUGUAAAGCACUUUAAGCGAGGAGGAGGCUACUUUAGUUAAUACCUAGAGAUAGUGGACGUUACUCGCAGAAUAAGCACCGGCUAAUUCUGUGCCAGCAGCCGCGGUAA
This 501-nucleotide ribosomal RNA is filed under the name uncultured bacterium. Its description in RNAcentral is "partial 16S ribosomal RNA". It matches the Rfam family "Bacterial small subunit ribosomal RNA", at positions 30 to 523 of the family's 1533-position model. The record is from RNAcentral.